RNAcentral lists this ribosomal RNA (375 nucleotides) under uncultured bacterium. RNAcentral's name for it is "bacterial SSU rRNA". It matches the Rfam family "Bacterial small subunit ribosomal RNA", at positions 524 to 898 of the family's 1533-position model. The record is from RNAcentral.
UACGGAGGGUGCAAGCGUUAAUCGGAAUUACUGGGCGUAAAGCGCACGCAGGCGGUCUGUCAAGUCGGAUGUGAAAUCCCCGGGCUCAACCUGGGAACUGCAUCCGAAACUGGCAGGCUAGAGUCUUGUAGAGGGGGGUAGAAUUCCAGGUGUAGCGGUGAAAUGCGUAGAGAUCUGGAGGAAGACCGGUGGCGAAGGCGGCCCCCUGGACAAAGACUGACGCUCAGGUGCGAAAGCGUGGGGAGCAAACAGGAUUAGAUACCCUGGUAGUCCCCGCCGUAAACGUUGUCGACUUGUAGGUUGUGCCCUUGAGGCGUGGCUUCCGGAGCUAACGCGUUAAGUCGUCCGCCUGGGGAGUACGGCCGCAAGGUUAAA